CUACUAAAAGCAGAAUAAACAGAGCACACAGCAUGCCACGUAGGAUUUUUUAUUCAGUCCAAUCAGGUUCAUUUGUUUAUACACGUCAUACUUACCGUUUUCUUUUGCCUAAAGUCGAGUAAAAAUUUCGUGGGCUUCCUGAUUAAGCUUUGGGCUUUAUGGAAUUGCGACUCGGGCUUCGGGGUGCGACAAGAAUCAUUUAGUUGACCCGACCUCCGAAGAUGACGAUCCUCCUCACCCUUACCCCUUCGUUUUCUCCGAACGAAGAGAAAAGAACCGUAGACUCCAUCGAUUCAAUCCUACGCAAUCAAUUGUUUCGUUCCGAUCAAUCAAUACGCCCAUUAUGAUUCCGUCAGAUCGACUGGAGAAUCUGUUCCACCAGUGAAACUGUUUUCAGCGAGGUUAAGCCUCACGAGGUUAGUGAAACUGAACAAGCUCUCGGGUAUUUGCCGGAGAAUCUGUUUCCUUGCAGGUAGAGGUGACGGAGAUCGGAGGAGGUGGUUAGAUCGAGAGUGAGAGAGCCGGCGAGGGCGUUGAGACGGAGGCUCAGUGUUCGGAGACGAGUUAAGUUUCUGAAAACACUGUUCGGGAUGGUGCCGGAGAGAGAGACGCCGGGGAGACGGAGGGCGGUGACUCUGUUGUUGUCGCAUUUUACGCCGGCCCAGUUGCACGGCGAGGUGUGUCUGAUGUCCCAGCAGAAUGUGCGGCCGCCGACGGAGGAACGGAGAGAGAGAAGAGCGGCUCUAUCGGCGUUGAGGUCUUGGGUUGAAGGGAGAGGGAGAGAGAGUAGGAGGGUUGUGAGGAGAACAGAGAGAAUCGUCAUGGAGGAGUUGGGGAAGACUCACGUUGUGCGAUGAUUCAUAGAAGGAGAAGGAGAGAGAGAGAGAGAGACGGUAGAAGAAAGAGAAGGCUCUUUUGCAGAGCUGUGGUUAUAGAGACUGAAGUGAAAGCAUUCAACAGCCUAAUCCUAGAUGUAACAAACGCUGCUGCAGAAUGAAAAUGGAAUCAUGUAGGUUGGUUCUGCUGGCUCUGCUGCUGCUCCACGCACCCUCUCCUCUGAUGCGCCUGUGCUCGCUUCAGAGCCGCGACCAAAGCGUUGGAGAGCGAAGGCUGGGUCUGAAACAGAGGGUUUGGAUUCGUGGGAAGCCUGUUGAGAGCAACGUUGAAACAGAGCUCGAGAGCUCGGCAAUGGAGAGAAGGAUGAGCCAUUUGUCGACCGAGGGAUGUGAAAGGAUGAGACUUUAGACAUGCCCGUCGGAAAAGAUUGGAUUUGUUUUGUUUUUUAUUUUUGUUUUUUUGUCUUCACUGAUCCCAGAGUUGCUGAGAGAGUCUUAUUGCUUCUAUACGUAAUUGAUAUUAAAUUUUAAGUUUUCAUCAAAUUUCUUUUGAGCCAAUAUUUCAUUGCUUCAGUAUCAAUCUGCUUCUUACAAUAAUUCAUUGUUUGGAACAGAGGUUACUGCUCUUCCAGGUAAAGCUAUUCGUUUAAUCAUUCCUAUUUUUGACUAUGUCUUCUAAAUAUUUAUGCUGAUCUUUGUCAAAAGUUUUUGUAUUCUAGACAGAUAUAAUAAAGAGAAUCGUUGUUAUUUCAUGGUGCUUAAUCUAACUCAGCUGCUUUCUUGAAAUCUCAUUGGUCUGAUUUACUCACAAGUAUAAGGUUUACUCGCUAAACAGGUAAACAGUAUAUGAUAUGGGAAGGAGAAGCAGAUUCAAGCAGUUAUUAUUAAGGAAGACACUGAUCCUCAACUAAUAAUUUCUACAAGAACAUGUAUUACUUUGCAUAUUGAGUUCUUUAUGCUUUGGUAUUUCUUUUGUAGCUCAGUUCAAGUAUUUGUUCUGUCAUUAAAACCCUUCAUCUAAAACUACCUCUUUUUCUUAGGAGAGGUGAACCAGCAUGAAAAGGGAUUUGCAGGACCAGAGCGAAUUCAGAAGCUCGUGAAAAACUAUUAUCAGUUUGUUUCUCUCACUAUAUACACGUGGCAGGAAAAAAGGAUACACAAAACAGGUAUGAUCAACAUGAUGACAAAUAUCUGAACUUAAUCAUGGCGUAAAUGCCCCAAUGCUCUGCCUGCAAGGGAAAAAUGUUCUAUGUAGUUGAGUUACAUGUCAGAAAACAUCUAAGAUUCUUAUUUGGAUGCUUGGUUCUCUCUUAUACAGGUUGAAGUUGAUGAUGAUUCAGCUGUGCCGGAAAAAUGAGAUGAGCAAGAUGACCAAACUGAGGUAUACCUUCUUCUCUUAUCAUGUUCUGAUAAUUAUAUUGAUAAGCAUCAGAGAAAUAUAUUGAUCCGAAUCAGGGAAUAGCUAGAUGUUCAAGUAUCGUUGCUCACUACUUUUUAACGUGUAACCGAGAAAAAAAAGACCAAGAAGGUCGUUGAGAAAUACUGGGAGUGGGAGCUUGCUAAUGAGACGCAACCAAUUUGGGUAAGGAUUUAGGACUGCUCUAUGUAUCUCAUGUGCGCUAAGAAUCGAAAUUAUGGAACCAAUUAAAGAGUUUAUUUCUAUUUGUUGCAGCUCCAUAACUAUAAAGAGGUGACAACAGUGGAGUACAAUGAGUUUUACAGAAUAACUUUCAACAAGUAUUUGGACUCAUUGGCAUCACCCCACUUCUUAAUAGAGGUACGUUGGAGGGAAGACAUCUGUUGGAAUAGUAUAUAUCCAUGAAACAAUCCAAGCAGGUUAUGAUUUGUAUCUGUUAAAAAGUGGUGACACAAUGUUGAUCCACUAAUGAUAUAUUGUUCUUAAACUGUUACUUUUAAUUCUCUUAUUGUAGCGUGAGGUCGAGUUUUGAUCCAUGGGGAAGGAUGAUGUGGUUAAUUAAAAGACAAAGAACAUAUGUUUAUGUAAACGAGUUUUCAAAGUUAUUUUGACGGGAAGCUGGUGAGAGAAGUAUCUCUUGGUGUGGCAUUUCAAGAGAUUUGUUUUUCUAUUUUGUAUUGCUAUCCGCUUUUGUGGUGCUUUGUGAACAGAUUCCUCAGUAUUUGAGCUUUAUUGAGGGUGUUUGUGGACUCACACGAUCUUCCAUUAACGUGUAACAUGAGAUUCUUCAAGAAAGUCACACUAGGUGCAGAUCAUGAAGAAACGUCUGGUGGAGAAAGAUUCUGGUAUGAUUUUGAGAAUUUACCUGAGUGUAAAUAGAGAAGUAUGCUUCAAAAUUUUGACAAUAUUUUCUCUCUCUUUUUUGCCAUGUUACAAGUCCCUGAUAUGUUCUUUGAUGAUUUUCCUGACGAAUGAGAAUGACAAUGUUAAACUUUUUACUUACAAAGGACUAUAAUGGUCCAUAUCCAGCUCUAAUUUAGUAAUUUUACAGUUGAGUUAUAUAUUGGCUAACAAAUUUUAGCAUAAAGAAAAGGAAAUAUACGUAGAUGUUGUAUAUGUAAUAGCUAGCAUGGGAAACAAAUGAGAUAUGUGAUCUAUUAUGUUGAUCAUUUGUAAUAGCUUUUAUAAAUAUCCAACUUUUGUGCUCAUAUUUUUUUUGCUGGGCAAAUUAUUUUUUCCAGCAGUUUAUAUCAGGAGUCCGCUAUUGCCAUGCAGUAAGAAAUGACUACAAAUUUUUUUUUAACUCUCAGCAGACUUACUGAAGCUUUGUUUAUCAUUAAUUUUGUCACAUUAUUUUCCUUAUAUAGUAAAUACGACACAGAGUUAGAGAAAAUUGGAAAUAUAUCACUUUUUUAUAAUGAGGUUUGGAUGCAAUCAUAUAUGGCUCGGCUUUCCGUUUUGGUGCAAAGAAGAUUUUGUUUAGGAUAAGGUUAAUUUAGGUUUAGUUACAAAGUGGAUGAUGAUUUAAAAUCCUAGAAACUCGGAAUGACUCAUACCAAAUAUUAUUCCAGGUAUUAUAUAUUUUUUCAAUAUUUUACUAUUAAUAUUGAUUAGCAUGUAUUUUUCUUUCCUUUAAUGGGGGUUCAAUAGGAGAAUACAUGUAUCAGAAAUACACCAAUAACCAACAGUCAUUAGUACAUAAUGUUGAUUAACAUUAUAUUAUUAGUAUCUAAUAUCUACAAUGCCCUCUAUCUCCAUUUUUAGAACAUCGAUGAUAAAAAAAUAAGAACCUCAUGAACGCUAAUAAUAUUUUAAAAAA
Molecule: long non-coding RNA, 4072 nt
Organism: Brassica rapa (field mustard)
Lineage: Eukaryota; Viridiplantae; Streptophyta; Magnoliopsida; Brassicales; Brassicaceae
Source: RefSeq, a predicted model, not a curated record